Molecule: ribosomal RNA, 254 nt
Filed under: uncultured bacterium
Lineage: Bacteria
Description: partial 16S ribosomal RNA
Rfam family: Bacterial small subunit ribosomal RNA
Source: RNAcentral
UACGAAGGGGGCGAGCGUUGUUCGGAAUUACUGGGCGUAAAGGGCGCGCAGGCGGCCUCUUGAAGCCAGAUGUGAAAGCCCCGGGCUCAACCUGGGAAUGGCAUUUGAUACUCGAGGGCUUGAGUACGGGAGAGGAGAGUGGAAUUCCCAGUGUAGAGGUGAAAUUCGUAGAUAUUGGGAAGAACACCGGUGGCGAAGGCGGCUCUCUGGACCGUAACUGACGCUGAGGCGCGAAAGCGUGGGGAGCAAACAGG